AGGGUGUGGAAAACAGGGCUUCCCGUCCGCUCAGCCGUACUUAAGCCACACGCCGGUGAGUUAGUAGUUGGGUGGGUGACCACCAGCGAAUCCUCACUGUUGUAUAUAU
This 109-nucleotide ribosomal RNA is filed under the name Penicillium egyptiacum. The record is from RNAcentral. Lineage: Eukaryota; Fungi; Ascomycota; Eurotiomycetes; Eurotiales; Aspergillaceae.